CAAUAGCGUAUAUUAAAGUUGUUGCAGUUAAAAAGCUCGUAGUUGGAUUUCUGGUGGGAGCGAUCGGUCUGGCGCUUAGCGCGAGUACUUGCAUCGUCUCCGGCCAUCCUUGGGGAGAGUCUGUCUGGCAUUAGGUUGUCGGGCAGAGGAUCCUCAUCGUUUACUGUGAAAAAAUUAGAGUGUUCAAAGCUGGCUUAUGCCGUUGAAUAUAUUAGCAUGGAAUAAUAAGAUAGGACUUUGGUACUAUUUUGUUGGUUUGCGCACCAAAGUAAUGAUUAAUAGGGACAGUUGGGGGUAUUCGUAUUCCGUUGUCAGAGGUGAAAUUCUUGGAUUUACGGAAGACGAACUACUGCGAAAGCAUUUACCAAGGAUGUUUNCAUUAA
This 383-nucleotide ribosomal RNA is filed under the name uncultured eukaryote. RNAcentral describes it as "partial 18S ribosomal RNA". It matches the Rfam family "Eukaryotic small subunit ribosomal RNA", at positions 592 to 976 of the family's 1831-position model. The record is from RNAcentral.